UACAGAGGGGGCAAGCGUUGUUCGGAAUUACUGGGCGUAAAGGGCGCGUAGGCGGCCUGUUAAGUCGAACGUGAAAUCCCCAGGCUCAACCCGGGAACUGCGUCCGAUACUGGCAGGCUUGAAUCCGGGAGAGGGAUGCGGAAUUCCAGGUGUAGCGGUGAAAUGCGUAGAUAUCUGGAGGAACACCGGUGGCGAAGGCGGCAUCCUGGACCGGCAUUGACGCUGAGGCGCGAAAGCCAGGGGAGCAAACGGG
RNAcentral lists this ribosomal RNA (253 nucleotides) under uncultured bacterium. Its description in RNAcentral is "partial 16S ribosomal RNA". It matches the Rfam family "Bacterial small subunit ribosomal RNA", at positions 524 to 776 of the family's 1533-position model. The record is from RNAcentral.